Microcebus murinus (gray mouse lemur) is the source of this 291-nucleotide unclassified non-coding RNA. It matches the Rfam family "Metazoan signal recognition particle RNA". Rfam says of the family: The signal recognition particle (SRP) is a universally conserved ribonucleoprotein. It is involved in the co-translational targeting of proteins to membranes. The eukaryotic SRP consists of a 300-nucleotide 7S RNA and six proteins: SRPs 72, 68, 54, 19, 14, and 9. Lineage: Eukaryota; Metazoa; Chordata; Mammalia; Primates; Cheirogaleidae. The record is from Ensembl.
GCUGGGUGCAGUGGUCUACACCUAUAGUCCCAGCUACUAGAGAGGCUGAGGCAGGAGGACUGUUUGAGCCCAGGAGUUCUAGGCUGUCGUGUGCUAUGCUGAUGUCUACACUUAGGGUGUCCACACUCAGUUCAGCAUCAAUGUGGUGAUCACCAGGUUGCCUAAGGAGGGAUAAACCCACCCAGGUCAGAAACAGAGCAGGUCAAAACUCUCGUGCUGCUCAGUGUUGAGAUCGAGCCUGUGAACAGACAGUGUACUCCAAUCUGGGCAACAUAGCAAGACACCAUCACU